GACAAACGCUGGCGGCGUGCCUAAUACAUGCAAGUCGAACGACGAAAGCCUUCGGGCAAGUAAGAGUGGCGCACGGGCGAGGAACACGUAGAUAAUCUGCCCUUCAGUGGGGAAUAACUCUCCGAAAGGAGUGCUAAUACCGCAUAAGACCACAAGCUCUGCGGAGCAAGGGGUUAAAGGAUUUAUUCGCUGAAGGAUGAGUCUGCGUCCGAUUAGCUAGUUGGUGAGGUAAUGGCUUACCAAGGCUAUGAUCGGUAGAUGGUCUGAGAGGAUGAUCAUCCGCACUGGAACUGAGACACGGUCCAGACUCCUACGGGAGGCAGCAGUAGGGGAUAUUGCACAAUGGGGGAAACCCUGAUGCAGCAACGCCGCGUGAGUGAUGAAGGCUCUAGGGUCGUAAAGCUCUGUCGUAUGGGAAGAAAAAAAUGACGGUACCAUACAAGAAAGGACCGGCCAACUUCGUGCCAGCCGCCGCAGUAA
This 480-nucleotide ribosomal RNA is filed under the name uncultured bacterium. Its description in RNAcentral is "partial 16S ribosomal RNA". It matches the Rfam family "Bacterial small subunit ribosomal RNA", at positions 28 to 523 of the family's 1533-position model. The record is from RNAcentral.